GACGAACGCUGGCGGCGUGCUUAACACAUGCAAGUCGAGCGGUAAGGCCCUUUCGGGGGUACACGAGCGGCGAACGGGUGAGUAACACGUGGGCGACCUGCCCUCAGCUCUGGGAUAAGCCUGGGAAACCGGGUCUAAUACUGGAUAUGACUCCAUGACGCAUGUUGUGGGGUGGAAAGCCUUGUGCGGCUGAGGAUGGGCCCGCGGCCUAUCAGCUUGUUGGUGGGGGAUGGCCUACCAAGGCGACGACGGGUAGCCGGCCUGAGAGGGCGACCGGCCACACUGGGACUGAGACACGGCCCAGACUCCUACGGGAGGCAGCAGUGGGGAAUCUUGCGCAAUGGGCGAAAGCCUGACGCAGCGACGCCGCGUGAGGGAUGACGGCCUGGU
This 390-nucleotide ribosomal RNA is filed under the name uncultured bacterium. Its description in RNAcentral is "bacterial SSU rRNA". It matches the Rfam family "Bacterial small subunit ribosomal RNA", at positions 28 to 420 of the family's 1533-position model. The record is from RNAcentral.